This 838-nucleotide ribosomal RNA is filed under the name Pycnonotus jocosus (red-whiskered bulbul). RNAcentral's name for it is "partial 12S ribosomal RNA". It matches the Rfam family "Bacterial small subunit ribosomal RNA", at positions 57 to 1415 of the family's 1533-position model. The record is from RNAcentral. Lineage: Eukaryota; Metazoa; Chordata; Aves; Passeriformes; Pycnonotidae.
GCAAGUNUCCGCAUUCCAGUGUAGANGCCCUAGGCACCCUGAAUCCAGGUCGAUAGGAGCGGGUAUCAGGCACACCAAAUCUGUAGCCCAAGACGCCUUGCAAUUGCCACGCCCCCACGGGUUCUCAGCAGUAGUUAAUAUUAAGCCAUGAGUGUAAACUUGACUUAGUCAUAGCAAUUUAGGGUCGGUAAAUCCUGUGCCAGCCACCGCGGUCAUACAGGAGACCCAAAUUAACUUUAUAACGGCGUAAAGUGUGGUAACAUGCUAUCCAAGUAACUAAGAUCAAAAAGCAGCUGAGCUGUCAUAAGCUAAAGAUGCCCAUAAGGCCGCUAUUCAAAGAAAAUCUUAGACUAACGAUUGAUUGAAAUCCACGAAAGCCAGGGCCCAAACUGGGAUUAGAUACCCCACUAUGCCUGGCCCUAAAUCUUGAUGCUCGAUCUUACCGGAGCAUCCGCCCGAGAACUACGAGCGCAAACGCUUAAAACUCUAAGGACUUGGCGGUGUCCCAAACCCACCUAGAGGAGCCUGUUCUAUAAUCGAUGAUCCACGAUAUACCUAACCAUUCCUUGCCAGAAUCAGCCUAUAUACCGCCGUCGCCAGCCCACCCAACCUGAAGGCCCAACAGUGGACGCAAUAGCCCUACCACGCUAAUAAGACAGGUCAAGGUAUAGCCUAUGGAAUGGGAGCAAUGGGCUACAUUUUCUAAAAUAGAACAUUACGGAAAGGGAUAUGAAACUGUCCCUAGAAGGAGGAUUUAGCAGUAAAGAGGGAGAAUCGAGCCCUCUUUAAGCCGGCCCUGGGGCACGUACACACCGCCCGUCACCCUCCUCAAAAGCGU